AGUCUUAUAUUCAUUAAUGAUUUAAAAUUGCAAAUUUUAAGGUGUAUAUAUUAUACUAAGGCUU
Molecule: transfer RNA, 64 nt
Filed under: Appias lalage
Lineage: Eukaryota; Metazoa; Arthropoda; Insecta; Lepidoptera; Pieridae
Description: tRNA-Cys
Source: RNAcentral